GGCUAGUUAGUCUAGUAGUAUGAUUUCUGACUAUAAAUCAGAAGGUCACAGGUUUAAUUCCUGUAUUAGCCU
Molecule: transfer RNA, 72 nt
Rfam family: tRNA
About the family: Transfer RNA (tRNA) molecules are approximately 80 nucleotides in length. Their secondary structure includes four short double-helical elements and three loops (D, anti-codon, and T loops).
Source: Rfam